GAUAAACGCUGGCGGCGUGCCUAAUACAUGCAAGUCGAGCGAACGGACGAGAAGCUUGCUUCUCUGAUGUUAGCGGCGGACGGGUGAGUAACACGUGGAUAACCUACCUAUAAGACUGGGAUAACUUCGGGAAACCGGAGCUAAUACCGGAUAAUAUUUUGAACCGCAUGGUUCAAAAGUGAAAGACGGUCUUGCUGUCACUUAUAGAUGGAUCCGCGCUGCAUUAGCUAGUUGGUAAGGUAACGGCUUACCAAGGCAACGAUGCAUAGCCGACCUGAGAGGGUGAUCGGCCACACUGGAACUGAGACACGGUCCAGACUCCUACGGGAGGCAGCAGUAGGGAAUCUUCCGCAAUGGGCGAAAGCCUGACGGAGCAACGCCGCGUGAGUGAUGAAGGUCUUCGGAUCGUAAAACUCUGUUAUUAGGGAAGAACAUAUGUGUAAGUAACUGUGCACAUCUUGACGGUACCUAAUCAGAAAGCCACGGCUAACUACGUGCCAGCAGCCGCGGUAAUACGUAGGUGGCAAGCGUUAUCCGGAAUUAUUGGGCGUAAAGCGCGCGUAGGCGGUUUUUUAAGUCUGAUGUGAAAGCCCACGGCUCAACCGUGGAGGGUCAUUGGAAACUGGAAAACUUGAGUGCAGAAGAGGAAAGUGGAAUUCCAUGUGUAGCGGUGAAAUGCGCAGAGAUAUGGAGGAACACCAGUGGCGAAGGCGACUUUCUGGUCUGUAACUGACGCUGAUGUGCGAAAGCGUGGGGAUCAAACAGGAUUAGAUACCCUGGUAGUCCACGCCGUAAACGAUGAGUGCUAAGUGUUAGGGGGUUUCCGCCCCUUAGUGCUGCAGCUAACGCAUUAAGCACUCCGCCUGGGGAGUACGACCGCAAGGUUGAAACUCAAAGGAAUUGACGGGGACCCGCACAAGCGGUGGAGCAUGUGGUUUAAUUCGAAGCAACGCGAAGAACCUUACCAAAUCUUGACAUCCUUUGACAACUCUAGAGAUAGAGCCUUCCCCUUCGGGGGACAAAGUGACAGGUGGUGCAUGGUUGUCGUCAGCUCGUGUCGUGAGAUGUUGGGUUAAGUCCCGCAACGAGCGCAACCCUUAAGCUUAGUUGCCAUCAUUAAGUUGGGCACUCUAAGUUGACUGCCGGUGACAAACCGGAGGAAGGUGGGGAUGACGUCAAAUCAUCAUGCCCCUUAUGAUUUGGGCUACACACGUGCUACAAUGGACAAUACAAAGGGCAGCGAAACCGCGAGGUCAAGCAAAUCCCAUAAAGUUGUUCUCAGUUCGGAUUGUAGUCUGCAACUCGACUGCAUGAAGCUGGAAUCGCUAGUAAUCGUAGAUCAGCAUGCUACGGUGAAUACGUUCCCGGGUCU
Molecule: ribosomal RNA, 1372 nt
Filed under: uncultured bacterium
Lineage: Bacteria
Description: bacterial SSU rRNA
Rfam family: Bacterial small subunit ribosomal RNA
Source: RNAcentral